This 254-nucleotide ribosomal RNA is filed under the name uncultured bacterium. RNAcentral describes it as "partial 16S ribosomal RNA". It matches the Rfam family "Archaeal small subunit ribosomal RNA", at positions 474 to 727 of the family's 1478-position model. The record is from RNAcentral.
UACCAGCACCCCGAGUGGUCGGGACGUUUUAUUGGGCCUAAAGCAUCCGUAGCCGGUUCUACAAGUCUUCCGUUAAAUCCAACUGCUUAACAGGUGGGCUGCGGAAGAUACUAUAGAGCUAGGAGGCGGGAGAGGCAAGCGGUACUCGAUGGGUAGGGGUAAAAUCCGUUGAUCCAUUGAAGACCACCAGUGGCGAAGGCGGCUUACUGGUCCGGUACUGACGCUGAGGCUCGAAAGCGUGGGGAUCAAACAGG